GCUACUACCGAUUGAAUGGUUUAGCGAGAUGCUCGGAUCGGGCCCAGCUCGUGCGAAAGCAUGUGCCGGGACUGAGAAGAAGUUCAAGCUUGAUCAUUUAGAGGAAGUAAAAGUCGUAACAAGGUUUUCAUAGGUGAACCUGCAGAAGGAUCACGAUAGGACGAGCGCCGUGUAGGGCAAGAGUGUAGACGUCGGUGGGCGCCGUAUCAUUAAUAAAUAAAACAUAAAAUACUCAUCGAACUGCCACUACAGCUUCUUACAUUGCUUCCACAACGUC
Molecule: unclassified non-coding RNA, 277 nt
Filed under: sea anemone metagenome
Description: partial contains small subunit ribosomal RNA and internal transcribed spacer 1
Rfam family: Eukaryotic small subunit ribosomal RNA (bases 1-156)
Source: RNAcentral